This 482-nucleotide ribosomal RNA is filed under the name uncultured bacterium. Its description in RNAcentral is "partial 16S ribosomal RNA". It matches the Rfam family "Bacterial small subunit ribosomal RNA", at positions 30 to 507 of the family's 1533-position model. The record is from RNAcentral.
AUUGAACGCUGGCGGCAUGCUUUACACAUGCAAGUCGAACGGUAACAGGCCGCAAGGUGCUGACGAGUGGCGAACGGGUGAGUAAUGCAUCGGAACGUGCCCAGUCGUGGGGGAUAACUACUCGAAAGAGUAGCUAAUACCGCAUACGAUCUAUGGAUGAAAGCGGGGGACCGUAAGGCCUCGCGCGAUUGGAGCGGCCGAUGUCAGAUUAGGUAGUUGGUGGGGUAAAGGCUCACCAAGCCAACGAUCUGUAGCUGGUCUGAGAGGACGACCAGCCACACUGGGACUGAGACACGGCCCAGACUCCUACGGGAGGCAGCAGUGGGGAAUUUUGGACAAUGGGUGCAAGCCUGAUCCAGCAAUGCCGCGUGCAGGAAGAAGGCCUUCGGGUUGUAAACUGCUUUUGUACGGAACGAAACGGCUCUGGUUAAUACCCGGGGCUAAUGACGGUACCGUAAGAAUAAGCACCGGCUAACUACGUG